Molecule: long non-coding RNA, 2317 nt
Filed under: Salmo salar (Atlantic salmon)
Lineage: Eukaryota; Metazoa; Chordata; Actinopteri; Salmoniformes; Salmonidae
Description: lncRNA (ENSSSAG00000084108.1)
Source: RNAcentral
ACCUCUGUGGUAACAUUUUCUGCCAGUUCCUGAUAUGCUGUUGUGGAAGAAUCAGCAUAGUCACUUUGGAAUGUACGGAACAUUAUGAAUCCUAAUCCCAUUGACCCCUCAUUCGCUGUCGGUGCUGCUGUUGACUUAGUUGUGGUAGCGGUGGCUGUGGUGGUUGUGGGAACAAUUUUGGUUGUCGUUGGUACAGUGGUGUUUGUGGCAGCAGCUGUGGUUGUCGUCGCAGAAGCUGUGGCUGUAGUUGAAGCAGUUGUGGUAUUCGUGCCAGCAGCAGCGGUGGUGGUGGCAGCUGUUGCUGUAGUAGCUCUGGCUGUUGUAGAAGCAGCUGUGUCUGUUGUGGGAGCAACUGUGGUUGUCGUGUUGCCAGCUGUGGAUGUGGUGGGGGCAUUUGUGGUUGUAGUUGGAGCAGCUGCUUUUGUAGGUGUAGCUGCUGUGGUUGUAGUGGAAGCAGCUGUGGUUGUUGAAUGAGCAACUGUGGUAGUUGUGAUGCCUGCUGUGGUGACCGUUGCGGCACCUGUGGUUGUGGUGGCAGCACCUGUGGUUGUUGUGGGAGACACUGUGGUUGAUGUGACUCCAUUUGUGGUUGUAGUUGGAGCAUCGGUGGUUUUUGUGGGAGAAACUGUGGCUGUUGUGACUCCAUUUGUGGUUGGAGCAUCUGUGGUUGUCAUGCCAGCAGCUGUGGUUGUAGUAGGAGCAGUAGUGGUUGUGGUGGCAGCUUCUGUGAUUGUGGUGGUUGCUGCUGUUGUCGUAGUCGAAGCAGCUGUGGUUGUGGUUGCAGCAGUAGCUGUGGUUGUAGUUGGAGCACCUGUGGUUGUUGCAGCAACUGUGGUUGUGGUGGCUGCUGCAGCAGUUGCAGGUGUCGUUGUCAUGGCAGGAGCUGUGGUGGUCAUCAUGGACAUUGUUGAGGUUGUAGUUGGAGCAGCUGUGGUUGUUGAAUGAGCAACUGUGUUACUUGUGAUACCUGCUGUGGUGACCGUGGUGGCACCUGUGGUUGUGGUGGCAGCACCUGUGGUUGUUGUGGGAGAAACUAUGGUUGUUGUGACUCCAUUUGUUGUUGUAGUUGUAGCAUCUGUGGUUGUUGUGGCAGCAGCUGUGGUUGUGGUGGCUGCUGCUGCAGUUGCAGGUGUCGUUGUCAUGGCAGGAGCUGUGGUGGUCAUCAUGGACGUAGUUGAGGUUGUCGUUGGAGAAGCUGUGGUUGUUGAAUGAGCAACUGUGGUAGUUGUGAUGCCUGCUGUGGUGACCGUUGCGGUAAAUGUGUUUGUGGUGGCAGCACCUGUGGUUGUUAUGGGAGAAACUGUGGUUGUUGUGACUCCAUUUGUGGUUGUAGUUGGAACAUCUGUGGUUGUUGUGGGAGAAACUGUGGCUGUUGUGACUCCAUUUGUGGUUGGAGCAUCUGUGGUUGUCAUGGCAGCAGCUGUGGUUGUGGUGGCAGCACCUGUGGUUGUUGUGGGAGAAACUAUGGUUGUUGUGACUCCAUUUGUUGUUGUAGUUGGAGCAUCUGUGGUUGUUGUGGCAGCAGUUGUGGUUGUUGUGGGAGAAACUGUGGAUAAUGUGACUCUAUUUGUCGUUGUAAUUGGAGCAUCUGUGGUUGUCAUGGCAGCAGCUGUUGUUGUAGAAGGAUCAGCAGUGGUUGUGCUAGCGGCUGCUGUGAUUGUCGUGGUUGCUGCUGUUGUUGUAGUCGAUGCAGCUGUGGUUGUUGUGACCGGAAUUGUGGUAGUCAUCAUGCCAUCUGUAGUGGUCGUUGGGGCAGCUGUGGUUGUGGUUGCAGCAGUAGCUGUGGUUGUAGUUGGAGAACCUGUGGUUGUUGUUGCAGCGACUGUGGUUGUGGUGGCUGCUGCAGCAGUUGCAGGUGUCGUUGUCAUGGCAGGAGCUGUGGUGGUCAUCAUGGACAUUGUUGAGGUUGUAGUUGGAGCAGCUGUGGUUGUUGAAUGAGCAACUGUGUUACCUGUGAUGCCUGCUGUGGUGACCGUGGUGGCACCUGUGGUUGUGGUGGCAGCACCUGUGGUUGUUGUGGGAGACACUAUGGUUGUUGUGACUCCAUUUGUUGUUGUAGUUGGAGCAUCUGUGGUUGUUGUGGCAGCAGCUGUGGUUGUUGUGGGAGAAACUGUGGAUGUGCUGACUAUAUUUGUGGUUGUAAUCGGAGCAUCUGUGGUUGUCAGAUUGUUUUUUGUUGAUUCAACAUCAGAUGUUGUUGAAGCAGCUGUGUUUGUUGUAGGACCAGCUGUUGUUGAUGUUGUUGUGGGGGUGGCUGUGGUUGUUGUCGUGGUUGUGGUAGUUGCGGCAACUGUGGUGGCUGCGGAAGUUGUAGUUC